UUAUACGUUGCAUCCCAACUAUCUUCUGUAGAUUUUUACUAAAGUCUUCACGUGAUCAGAAGAAGAUAAAAUAUCCUCAGAGUCUGAUAUUGACCUAUCAUAAUCUCCUCGGUCCUUGCAUUGACUGGAUCUUCAAAGUAUGAAUAUUCAGAGUUUAGAUCUUCAGAGGCAAACUUAUUCAGAGUCAGAAUCUUUAGAGUCUAGUCUUCAGCUUCUAAUCUUUCAG
Molecule: long non-coding RNA, 226 nt
Filed under: Lathyrus oleraceus (garden pea)
Lineage: Eukaryota; Viridiplantae; Streptophyta; Magnoliopsida; Fabales; Fabaceae
Description: Pisum sativum (pea) long non-coding RNA (PSAT_LNC009695)
Source: RNAcentral